Cyanistes caeruleus (blue tit) is the source of this 396-nucleotide long non-coding RNA. RefSeq lists it as uncharacterized. The record is from RefSeq and is a predicted model, not a curated record. NCBI's taxonomy places the organism in Eukaryota, Metazoa, Chordata, Aves, Passeriformes, Paridae.
UCGCCUGAGAUCAAAAGAUGAGAUUCAGAGCACUCUAAGUAACUCUGGUGUACACAGCCGCACUAUGCGGUGGCCAAGGGUUUCUUCUCCUCCCUGUGCUGCUCACUCCGCUCACUGUCAGAAAGUCUGUCAGAGGCACAACAGUCAGCAAUUACAGGUUGUCUACUUCUGAUUUAGUCUUCACAGGCUGCCCCACCACAGAGGAACUGGAAAUUACUGAGAAAGAAGAGCAAGAAACUCCACUGAACUCCUGUUAACACUAAUUAGAGUUGCCAGCAUGCAGUGGAAUCAAAGGCGAAACAUGUGGAGCUCCCACUGAAGUUAAGAGGAGAAGGGUAUGACUUAAAGGAGAGGCAUGCAAAUUAAAAAUAAAUGUGGUUCAAUGUUACCAAAUGA